Candidatus Nasuia deltocephalinicola str. NAS-ALF is the source of this 72-nucleotide transfer RNA. It matches the Rfam family "tRNA". Rfam says of the family: Transfer RNA (tRNA) molecules are approximately 80 nucleotides in length. NCBI's taxonomy places the organism in Bacteria, Pseudomonadati, Pseudomonadota, Betaproteobacteria. The record is from Rfam.
GAAGUGAUAGUUUAAAGGUUAAAAUACUGUCUUGUCAAGUCAGAGAUACGGGUUCGAUUCCCGUUCAUUUCG